UCGCAGGCCAGUCGCAGGCCAGUCGCGCCGCGGGGCGGGUCCCCAACGCCGGCCGCUACGUGCAGCCCCACCGCGGCUGGAUGGAGCCCGGCGACGCUCUCGCGGGCGGUCGCAGCGCCGCGGCCACCCCCAUCGAAUCCGGGGCGUCCCAGGAGCAUCCACCCUUUCCUCCCCGGAGGCGGGGAAGGUCACGGGUUACAUAACCCGGGCCACCGCUGCAUCGCGGCUGCACCCGGCCAAACCUGCCCACCGGGGGCCACGCGCCCGGGGAUCCAGGAGAGACGGAUGCGUGAUGGAGAAGGGGCUGGACAGAGCUGGGCGAUGGGCGAUGGGGGCGGGGAGUAGACGGACGUGACCAGAACGGAGUGGGAGGGGCGAGGACCGCCCGGCGCGGAGGACAAGGAUGCGGAGGAGCAGACGUGACCGGAAUGGAGGGGAGGGGCGAGAAGCGGAGCAUGAAUGGGGCAGGGCCCCACCAGGUCCAAGAUGCCCAGGAUCCAACACCGCCGUGGAAUGGGUGCCAGGAAUCCGCACGAGCCGGGCCGACGGGGUCCAGGUGGGCAUGCAUGGCGCUACCUCGGCCCCCGCUCACCUCUGGCGUGGUCCGGCUGGGGCUGCAGCUGGGAGGUCUCGAGUCUCCGGAGGCGUCACUCCUGUGCGGACUCGGCUGUCUCUGCCUCAAGGUUAUCCCGACAGUAGGGCCGCCGCAAUCCCUCCGCCGCCCCGCCCCCGACCCAAUCCUGGCUUCCCGCUCGCCCGGCCCGCCCUUCUGCGUGCUCACGGGGAGCAGUCAUUCAGAAGGAAGUGCCGCGAGGCCGGAACGGGCCUGCAGGUUGCCCUUUUGGGGAGGACUAUAUUCUGUGGCGGAAGGACACUGUACAUUGACUCACGGUGACGCUCGGUGGAGGCCAAUGAGGAAGCGAAGAGGCGGCAGGAUCCGCCCUCGGAGCCCCGCAGACCUCCUCCUCCCCCCCAGACCCUCGGGCGCCUUGGCCACCUGUUGCGGCCAAUUAGCACGUUGAGGAGGGCUCCUCUCCUGACCCUCCGUCCAGGCCACCCUGAUGCCCUGGCCUAUUGGGGCGGUACCCAGAUAUAGGGGUCCCCGGCAGCAUUCCCUCAGCGCCGCCCCACCCCUCCAGAUGCCCAUCCUAACGCACACCUCGGAGACUGAGCUGAAAAGGAGGUUGGGGAGCCUGAGAUGGGAUCAGAAGGUGGGGAGAGAUGGAGAUCGUGGGCUGGUUGGAGGUUGGGCCCUCCUUUGGGGCGCUCGGACUCGGGAGUGGGGGAAGGGAGAACUGGGGAGGGCGCAAUGUACUUGGAGCGCGAGCGCAAGGCCCUUCUGUUCUUAGGGUCAGGAAGCACAAAUUGGGGCCAUGUGAAUACAGUACUUUAGUAGGGCUGAAAUCCCUGAGAGUAGAAAUCCUAUAGAAGGUAUUAAUAUUAGUGCAGAACUGACCAUCAGGAAAUACUAAGUCAGAAUAUGAGAGUCAAUGAUCUUUGCUGGAGUCAGCACUUCUGUUUUCAACCUUGUAUAUUUAUAUCAAUAUUGUUGUUUUUCUUACAUUUUCUCCAAGGCAUUUUCCAGUUUCUCAGUAAUUGGCUAUCAACCAGUGAUAACAGAAGUUGUAUCAGGAAACAAAUGUAAACCCUUGCCUUUAUUCAGCGAAGUUUUGAGAGCAGAUACAAUGUUGCUUCAUUAAAAAUCGUUAAGACUCUUCUUUUAGGUUCUUUGCUUUUCCUGGAAAAUUAGACCAAUGGAUGUGACCUGCUCAGGCAGACACUGCUUGCAGCUGAAUCACAGGCCUUCAUUCUGCUUUCCUUUAGCUCAGAUAAGCUGGGAGGAAAAAGUGAGCCCAAAAGUAAAUUUCUGUUUGAGAUAAAAUCUUUUAAUUUCUUCUGUGAGCCUAUUUGGGUCCUUAGUUGAAGACAGGACGUAAAUGCUUGUUUAUUGAAGUGGUGAGAGCACAUGAAGUUGUUGAAAGAAAAAAAGGCCAUGCCCUACCAGGAGAAUCCUAUUCUUCCCUAUUCAGAGAGAGAGGAAUGGCGUAAGUGGCCCUCUUUGGCUCCUUAGAUAAGUACAGUGGUGGACAACUCUGGAGGUAUGGGGGAUAGUGAUCUGGUCAAUGUUGUACUAUGUUGCAUUUUAAAGUUCUAAAUCUAGAUAUACGAUGGAACCUUGGUUCUUGAACAUAACUUGUUCUGGAAGGCUGUUCAAGAAGUGAUUUGUUUGAAAACCAAAUCAUUUUUUUCCCAUCAGAAAUAAUGCAAGUUGAAUUAAUCCUUUCCAGACCCACAAAUGAUUCCGUUUUAACCUUUCUUAUAUACUGUUUAAUCUAUAAAUAAACACUUCUUUUCUUAAAUUUA
Molecule: long non-coding RNA, 2364 nt
Organism: Myotis lucifugus (little brown bat)
Lineage: Eukaryota; Metazoa; Chordata; Mammalia; Chiroptera; Vespertilionidae
Exons: 2
Source: RefSeq, a predicted model, not a curated record